RNAcentral lists this ribosomal RNA (253 nucleotides) under uncultured bacterium. RNAcentral describes it as "partial 16S ribosomal RNA". It matches the Rfam family "Archaeal small subunit ribosomal RNA", at positions 474 to 727 of the family's 1478-position model. The record is from RNAcentral.
UACCAGCACCCCGAGUGGUCGGGACGAUUAUUGGGCCUAAAGCCUCCGUAGCCGGUUCUACAAGUCUUCCGUUAAAUCCACCUGCUUAACAGAUGGGCUGCGGAGGAUACUAUAGAGCUAGGAGGCGGGAGAGGCAAGCGGUACUUAGUGGGUAGGGGUAAAAUCCGUUGAUCCAUUGAAGACCACCAGUGGCGAAGGCGGCUUGCCAGAACGCGCUCGACGGUGAGGGAUGAAAGCUGGGGGAGCAAACCGG